RNAcentral lists this ribosomal RNA (273 nucleotides) under uncultured bacterium. RNAcentral describes it as "partial 16S ribosomal RNA". It matches the Rfam family "Bacterial small subunit ribosomal RNA", at positions 523 to 796 of the family's 1533-position model. The record is from RNAcentral.
AUACGAACUGCGCGAACGUUAUUCGGAAUCACUGGGCUUAAAGGGUGCGUAGGCGGCGUGUUUAGUAGGAUGUGAAAUCUGUCGGCUCAACCGGCAGGCUGCAUUCUAAACUGGCAUGCUUGAGAGAGUCAGGGGUGUGUGGAGCUUCCAGUGGAGCGGUGAAAUGUGUUGAUAUUGGAAGGAACGCCGGUGGCGAAAGCGGCACACUGGGGCUUUUCUGACGCUGAGGCACGAAAGCCAGGGAGCGAACAGGAUUAGAAACCCCUGUAGUCC